UUCCAGCUCCAAUAGCGUAUAUUAAAGUUGUUGCAGUUAAAAAGCUCGUAGUUGAAUUUCGGGGUUAGUAGGCUGGUCAUGCCUCCGGUAUGCACUGGUCUCACUGAUUCCUCCUUCCUGAUGAACCGUAAUGCCAUUAAUUUGGUGUUGCGGGGAAUCUGGACUGUUACUUUGAAAAAAUUAGAGUGUUUAAAGCAGGCUAACGCUUGAAUACAUUAGCAUGGAAUAAUGAAAUAGGACGUUUGAUUCUAUUUUGUUGGUUUCUAGGAUCGACGUAAUGAUUAAUAGGGAUAGUUGGGGGCAUUAGUAUUCAAUUGUCAGAGGUGAAAUUCUUGGAUUUAUUGAAGACUAACUACUGCGAAAGCAUUUGCCAAGGAUGUUUUCAUUAAUCAAGAACGAAAGUUAGGGGAUCGAAGACGAUCAGAUACCGUCGUAGUCUUAACCAUAAACUAUGCCAACUAGGGAUCGG
This 469-nucleotide ribosomal RNA is filed under the name uncultured Glomus. RNAcentral describes it as "SSU rRNA". It matches the Rfam family "Eukaryotic small subunit ribosomal RNA", at positions 583 to 1056 of the family's 1831-position model. Lineage: Eukaryota; Fungi; Glomeromycota; Glomeromycetes; Glomerales; Glomeraceae. The record is from RNAcentral.